AUCCCGGGCGUUGCCCUCAGACCCUUUCGUUUCCCAAAGCUCAUUCACCACACUCGGAGGAACAAAGCCAAACAAGUCCCCUGAGAUGGCCGCCGGAGCUGUAACGCUUGGCCUUCCUCUGCCCUCUUACCGCCUCUCCACCCCGUUCCCGCCGUCAGCUCCAAGACCCCGCAAUCUCUUCCCAAAAGCCCACCGGAGGAGACCAUACCUACGUCCCAUCUCGUCUUCUCUGCUCGAAGGCGAGCAGCAGCUCUCCUUCACCGAGCCCGAAGCUGUCCUCCUCGAAUCCCUUCUCGGGAUACAGGGUAGAGGCCGCGCCGCUUCUCCCCAGCAGCUCCAGGAUGUCGAGCGUGCCGUGCAAACCCUGGAGAGUCUGCAAGGUCUUCCUGAACCUACAAGUUCCAGUCUGAUUGAAGGUUGCUGGCAACUGAUCUUCACUACAAGACCUGGAACAGCAUCCCCAAUACAAAGAACAUUUGUCGGGGUUGACUUUUUCAAAAUCUUUCAAGAGGUUUACCUUAGAACAGAUGACCCAAGGGUAUCCAACAUUGUGAAAUUCUCAGAUGCAAUUGGUGAGCUAAAAGUAGAGGCAGCAGCAAAAAUCAAAGAUAGAAGACGCAUCCUUUUCCAAUUUGACCGUGCAGCAUUCUGCUUUAAAUUCUUACCUUUCAAGGUUCCAUACCCUGUGCCAUUUAGGCUUCUUGGAGAUGAAGCAAAGGGUUGGUUGGACACUACAUAUUUAUCCCAUAAUGGAAAUAUACGUAUUUCACGAGGGAACAAGGGUACCACAUUUGUGCUGCAAAAGGAAACCGAACCAAGACAAAGGUUGCUAUCAGCCAUAUCUGGUGGGACAGGAGUAACAGAGGUGAUUGAUGAACUUGUAUCUUUAAAUCCGGAAGAGGUUGCAGAUGUAUCAGUAACUAUGGAGGGAGAAUGGCAAUUACUGUGGGCUUCACAGAUGAAAAAUGAAAGCUGGUCAUCCAUUGCUGCUAAUGGUCUCAAAGGUUUACAGAUUGUAACAGUAGAUGGACGACUGGAGAAUCUGGUUGACCCAUUUCCAGGUUUCAAAAUUAGUGCUAAUGGCAAUCUUAUCAGAAUAUCCAACAGCAACAUGUACAUUGUCACGAUGAAAGAUGGGGCUGUUUCAGUUGGUACCUUAAAAUUCCCCCUGGAUAUUAAGAGCGAGUUUCGCAUGGAAUUGCUCUAUAUCGACAGAAAGAUUAGAAUAACCCGAGGUACUGAGGGCAUACUAUUUGUCCAUUUGCGCCUCGAUAGGAGACUGUAAGUAUGAAAAGAGGAGAAAGAGCCAGCAUAUUACCACCGAAGCUGUUGCUCAUUUUCUAGAAGUGUAUGUAUGACCGUCAGUUUGCCAGUUCAACUUCCCUGGUUGUCAUGAAUAUUACUAUCAAAUACUUGCUCUGAUCUAAUUAGCAUAAUACCAAGGCUUCUUUGCUACUGGCUUACGAAAAGGAAAGCCGCAUCAUCAAUCUAAGGAGUUGGUCAGCAACAGUUGCUUGUGCUGCCUGGGAUCGAUGCUAGACCUGAUCUAAUGGACUCCAGGUGCUGCCCAUUAAAGUUUUUCCUAUAUUAGUUGCUGGCUAAGAACAUACUCCCUGACCAUCCUCCAUAUCCCAAGCUGGACUGAAGUUAUGAUGUCUAAUCCAGUUCACCUGAUACAAGGAUGAGCCAGAUUCUUCACCUGCAGCUCCACAAGAUCUUUCUUUAGAUAUAAAGAAAACGUAAAAGAUGUGAACCCCCUGCAGGUGUAUAACUGUCAUUAAUUUUCUAUUAGAUAAAAAUGUUCUCUUUUUUAUCAAAUGCUCGGCUUGCUGUUGGGUUUACACUUUCUUCUCAGUUUGAAAAAAAAUUGUGAGACUCAUUUUCUUCAA
This is an RNA transcript of Phoenix dactylifera (date palm), 1889 nucleotides long. It is a transcript of the gene named Plastid-lipid associated protein PAP / fibrillin family protein, with no coding region annotated. NCBI's taxonomy places the organism in Eukaryota, Viridiplantae, Streptophyta, Magnoliopsida, Arecales, Arecaceae. The record is from RefSeq and is a predicted model, not a curated record.